AUUGAACGCUGGCGGCAGGCCUAACACAUGCAAGUCGAACGCGUGGCGGACGGGUGAGUAAUGUCUGGGAAACUGUCCGCUGGAGAGGGAUAACUACUGGAAACGGUAUCUCUAACCGCGUACCCUCUCAUGUGCCCAGAUGGGAUUAGCUCGUAGGGGGGGUAACGGCUCACCUAGGCGACGAUCCCUAGCUGGUCUGAGAGGAUGACCAGCCACACUGGAACGGGGAAACGGUCCAGACUCCUACGGGAGGAAGCAGUGGGGAAUAUUGCACAAUGGGCGCAAGCCUGAUGCAGCCAUGCCGCGUGUAUGAAGAAGGCCUUCGGGUUGUAAAGUACUUUCAGCGAGGAGGCGUUACUCGCAGAAGAAGCACCGGCUAACUCCGUGCCAGCAGCCGCGGUAAUUC
Molecule: ribosomal RNA, 406 nt
Filed under: uncultured bacterium
Lineage: Bacteria
Description: partial 16S ribosomal RNA
Rfam family: Bacterial small subunit ribosomal RNA
Source: RNAcentral